RNAcentral lists this long non-coding RNA (6070 nucleotides) under Pelobates cultripes (western spadefoot toad). The record is from RNAcentral. Lineage: Eukaryota; Metazoa; Chordata; Amphibia; Anura; Pelobatidae.
CCUCGGUUUAUUAAUACAACAAAAUAUUUAUACAGCAAAAGUAGAGAGCGAUUGCGUGGGCUGGUUUCUAACAUUGCUGCAUACAGCUUGUCCCAUAUGCACAUAGGAAAUGUUACAAUUGCAAGUUUGUCCUGUAAGCACAUACCAGAGAUAGCGAGUUACAGUUUCAGCAUAAAGUUUCAAGCUAUUUCAGCAUAACAUUUCAAACUGUUUUGCUUCUGUAAGCAUGGAUUAACCCUUCAGUAAGCAGUAGUGGUGUUAAAACACAAUAUGGCAAUCUUGUGUAACUAAAUCCCAAUUACUUUGGAUAUGAAGCAUGAUUGUGUUAGAAUAUUUAAUUUAAGCAGAUUUUUCGUCCUCAUGGACUUUGAACAUCACAGUGAAACUUGAUUGUUGCAGAGGAAGCGCCUAUAGUGGAUGUCUUUCCUGUUUCACGUUGCAGGGCUAAAACUACAGAGAGCCACUGCACCUUCACCACUACACUGAGAUGAAGUAGUCUGGGUGACUUUAAUGGUCCUUUAAUAAAUUGUUUAUAGAGAUUUGUGGAGUGUGCACUGAUCUUUGUUUUUGUAUUAUGCAUAAAGUUCAGGCUUUAGCAGCAUCACUCUUUAUAAAAUAUGUUCUGAUCUUAUUUAGGUUUGGGGCUGGAGUGGUGUGGCGAUUGUUGCUGGGAGCAACUCAAAGAUACUGGUGUGAUCUCCCUAACCUUGGUAUAGGAUGACUGGUUUUCCGUGGAAGCUAUUUGACCUACAAUUUGGCAUUAUCUCUAUUUUUGUUUUCAUUUAUAUAUUGUAUGAUUUGUGACUCUACAGCAGUGAUGGUGUAAAAAACUAGAUGAAUGGAUGUUCAUGUAGAUUCUUCUUAAUUUCUUCUUGUCUUCAGUUGAUUGAUAUAUAUACGUCUUUUGUACAUAUAGUCUUGGGCCAAAUGCUCGCCACAAUAAUAUAUGUCUAUAUUAUUGAAAAGUACUAAUACGCAAUCUGACGUACGGUUUCUUCAGGUUUAUUCUUUGUUACGGAUACAUAAUAAAACAUAAUAAAUUAUGUAACAGGAUAAUGGACAUUCAACAGCAGAUGGUAAUUGCUGGACUUCUGAUGGGAGAGUUACAUCGUUGUACAGAGCCAAGAGCUAAGCCAAGUGUGAGAGACCUCGUGUCCCUCUGUUACUAUAUAGAAGUGCUAAUACUAACGUCAGCAUUUACCUCUAGCCAUAUAAGGACAAGACCCCCGAAUCCACAUUCCAGAGCUCUCGGACAAAGAAAGCCUUGUGACUUAUUGAUACCAUCUGUUACUUAUGUCAAUCCACACCUCCAUAUAUAUAAUCAAUAGAAAUAUAGAAUAUGCAAUAUUCUACAUUCCCUCUGUUUAUGGUUUGUUUUAAAACCAUAACACAAUGUCACUAACCUGUCCAUUCAUACAUCACUUGUAUCACAUUCAUUGAGCAUAGAACAAGAUGUAGUCACAAUUUUCUAUUAUAUGAGAGUUCUUAGAAGGUCGAGUUUCUAUCCCUCCUACUGCUUACUUUACUUCAAAACUCCCUCUGUUUCAGCUAUGUAUUGAUAUCCAUAUCCAUGUUACAUCAUAACUACUUGAACAUAAUAUAUACAUAUAUAACAAUAAUAAAUGAAUAAAAUAUUUACAAAUGUUGAUCCAAUAAACAAUAAAGCAAUCAGAAAGAUCUACCUGCUAUGUUACAGUCGUAUCUUUGUAGAUAACAAAAUCAAGAUGAUAACUUUCACUAUCAUAUUCCUACAGAUACAUAUAUAGUAUAGUAUUUUCAUUCUCAAUACCUGAUAUUACUAAAAUACUAAUACAUGUAUUACUAUAAUAUCCUGUCCAAUUAGAUUUCCAUGAAUCAUAUGGUUUCUAGCCACCUUAAAAUCUUUAGGUCAUUUGUAUUCAUGAAUUACAUUCCUAUACCAUUAAUACCAUCUAGUGAUGAUUGUAUCAGUACUUUACAAUCAUAGUAUUUAAUUUGUAUAUUCAGUAGGCUCUCACUACCUGAAAUAUACCAACACUACUUAUAAGUCUCAUUCAAAUGAUGUGUUAUCAACCAUGAAGUUCUAUAAUAAUUCUUCAAAUAAUGUUCAUGGUGUUGACAAUACUUAUUGUCCUAGAAAUUCUCCACCCAGAAAUCUUUCUAUCAUAGAUUUGUUUUUGUUUACAUAAUUAUAAUUUUCACUAAAAUUCCACCUUGUAGUAACAAACUUUUCAUUCAAUCGGAGAAUGGUUUACUUUAAAAUAACUUGGAAAGAAUAAUUUAAAUUCAUUAUCAUCACUCUCUUCAAUAGCAUUGUGAUGACUUAUUAAUGUAAUACAUCUUAAAAGCAGGAUUGUCCUAAUGUUCUGACCAAUCCGUAUUCCUUAGUACACUUCAACUGACUAAAAUAAAAUAAACAAAACUUGGGGUCAUACUGCCCAGAAACUCUUAUUCCUAGUCUGUGUCUAACAAACUCAGGGAAAUCAUAAAACAACUUAACAACUUAUUCAUUGGAUACCGUCAUAUCCAGAAACCUAUUCUCCCUAGUCCAUACCUUUUAUAGACUUAGGUCAAAUAUAAUUGUGUACUAUACUCUUUCCAUUCAAUUCAAUUCCUCUUGGAUCUCUGAACUCUUAUAUCCAAGGCCUUCUUAAUGUAUACCAUUACUUAAUAUAAAUCAAUAUAAAUUAUCCUUCCUUAGUUUUCUUCCUUAUGUUACCAUUGUUUGUUUUACUCUACCUCGAUUAUAAACAAAUUACUCAUUCUUGUGAAUCUAUGAAAUACUAUUGAACUCAAUCUUUGUGGUAUUAAGUAACCAUGAUCCUUAUUUUAUCAACUUCAUAUUUUAUCUACCUCUGAUACUUCUCAUUCUAUGUAUAGGUCAUAAUGUAAUAGUUCUCUUCAUAAUACUAUCCUUUCAUAAUUUUACUCCAUGUGUUACACAUUUAUAAGUACUCUCUCUUGGUAUUAAUACUCAUAACUGUUAUAUAACUUUCAUUGUCUGUUUUCUUCUUCAUUAAUAUUUAGGAAUAUAUAUGUAUGUUAGUGUCAAUCUUUUAUUUCUUUGUAAGUCUGUUAAUCUUCUGUAUCGAAUGAACUCUGUAGAAUCUUCCAUCACAGUUUGCAGAUCAGAUGAAAAGUCUCUUUCCAACAGUCGAUGUCCAGUUGUCUGAAGGAAUGCUUUCCUGAUUUAUUGCCACAUGGAUCUCUCAUGCUUUACCUACAUUAAAACAAAUAACAUGUGCAGCAUCAAUACAAUGGCUUACAAUGUUUAUAUCUCAUUAUUAUUAUACAGUUUAACAUUGAAUUACAUGGACUACACAACAUACUCAUUUCUUCUCAUGAGAUCUACCAUCUAGUGGUCAUUGCAUUUCUGCCAUGUGAUAUGUAAUCUUUAAAUUUCCUUUAUAUCAAAAUAUCUUUUCUACACAUUUUAAUUUUGCCAAACUUUUUAUUAAUCAUACCCCCCUUUUAAACUGUUUAAUAAUCUGGAGGUAUAACCUAAUCACAUGUCAGAUGUUACAAAAAAAUAUUGUUUUCCACUAUACUUUAGCAAUAGCAGCCAUCUUGUCUUAACACUGGCACCAUUUUGUCACAUGAAACAAACUACAAAAACAUAUAUUGUUUCCUUCAUCAAAUGUAUUUGUAAAUCUAGGUUUUAUUCUAUCAAAACUUUUGUCUUCUAUAUAAUCAAAACAUAUGUAUGUCCAGGCUUUGCAAAACAUAGUAAUCCAUUAUCAGUCAUGACAUUAAAAUCUCAUUCUCAUGAAUUAAAUCAAAGAUUUUAAAUCAACCUCAGAAGUAACAACAUUGUUUUUUCCUUCUGUAAAAUGAUUGGAGUUACUGUAUAAUCGCAUACACCCAAUAUAACAUACAUUGCAUGUGCCUAACUGCUACAUUAGUGUAUUUCAUUCUGCCAUAUUUGCAAACUUGAUGUAAAUUUUUAUUUCAAUUAAUUAACCUAAUACUUUCUUAUAACACACAUAAAACAAUGAAAAAACAGUACAGACUAACAAUUCAUUUAAAACAACAAACUAACAUAGAUCUCUAUUCUUGUGCUGUUCUUAAUUCUGGAAUCAGCCUGUGUACCUCUGUUGGCACACAUAUCCAUGCUCAUUCCCUAAACUGAUCAUAUCUCUUGAAGUUAUCUAAUUCGUAUAACUUUCUGUGUUACACUACAUUGCUUGUCUGUCUCCUAAUUUCGAUUUAGCUAAAAUUGCUUUUAUUUGUCUGAUUAUAAGUUUACAAGGAAAGGCUUUAAUUGAUUUAUCUCCACAUGUAUUUUCUCUGUCAAAAUUUUCAAUCAACAAAUUUAAUUUCUCAUUUGCUUUUGAUUUGAUAUCUCAGAUAAAAUAUCUGCAAGAUCUUAAAUAAUGUUGUUUAUUGCACCAAAAACAAAUAACUUUAGGAGUUAUAUUUUGCCCUAUAUUAUCAACUCUACAGUUUUUAGUUGAAUAAAUUGGGAGGGGCUCAGCUGUCUGUAUCACUCUACACUCUGUCCUAGAAGAAGAAGAAGGAGGAGUGUAAAAUCUGCACUUCUUCCUCUGCCUAAAUCCACAAGUCGUUUUAACCCCUUCAUUAUUGGUUUCCCUCCUUAAGUUAUCCAAGAACAAAGCUACUUCUGUCAAAGUGCUUUUUUCUCUAGCUAACACAAUUGCAGUUGGAUCUAGAUCUUGACAUUUUUCACAAAUUCAUUAAUUAACUGAUCUUCAGAAAAAUCAGCAACAAGUCUAUAUGCACUUUCAAAUUUUACAAGAAAACUAAAUAUAUCCUCUCCUUUGUGUGGUUUUAGUUUUUCCAACAUUUCAGUGUCUGCAAAAUCAUUCCCUGUUGUUAAUUUUAUUAAUUGUGUUAAUCUGUCUCGCUCAUUUCCAUGGACUAUUUCACCAUCUUCGUCAUUAGGGGUACUAAUGGGUGGAGUCAGUCUACGUGCAAUGUAUGUUGGCAGCCAUAUUUUAAAUAGUCUAUUCCUUUGUUCGUCAUUUAGGCUGUAUUUGUCUAAAUUAGACUCAAACAUUUCAGCAUUAGUAAAUGUAUCCACUGACGUGUCAUAAAACGGAAUACAUUUCACAAUUUUCAUUAAUUGUUCAUGGAUUUUCAAAUUAAGUUUUGCAGCUCUGUCUUGAAAUUUACAUUUCUGCAAAUCACUCUGUGAGGAUACAUUUUCAGUAUCUAUUGGUUCUGGUAUUAGAUUCUGUGCCUUUAUUUUUCUUGUAUUAACACACACUAGUUUAACUUCAUUUUCAAGCUGGCAAAUAAGAUCAUUUCUUAGUUCAACUCUAUCCUCUAAUUCACAGACUUUUUCUGACAAUGUUCUCUCUGUUACAUUGUUACACUGUUCAUUUAAAUCUGAUUUGUCUUCUGUUAACCCAUUCAAAUCUAUUUCUUUAUCUGCUGAUUCUAAAUUGUCUUGACCUGCAUCUCGUUUACAAAUCAAUGCAUUGUAAGUACAGACUAGUUUCAUAACAUUUCUGACCUUUUGUUUUUUCUUAUUAACAAACAAUUCCUUGUCAAUUUCAGUAUUGGCAAUUUCGCAUUGUGUGUAUAAAGAUUGCCACAAUACAGCAUCUGAAUAGCUGCUAUUAAAUGCAAACUGCAAUUUACUUUUCUCUGCAAUAUCACUUAUGAAUUCCAUGUUACUCACCAGAUCAGUUAUCUCUGUCUAUUUCGUUGCUUCAUCCACACAGCUGCGCAGUUCUUUGCUUGAAUCUGGAAAUUUGCCAGUCUCUGCCACGUGCUUGCUUCUAGAAUUCACGUUGUAUCUUGUGCUUUUCAUCUCAGUUGUAGAAAAUAGUCUUGUACAGUCUUUGUGAUUUGAAAAUGUUCUUUUUCUUACAAACACAGUUCUUCUAUGACAGUCAGUCUAGAUUCUUUUUUUCUCUUCAAGUUUGUUUUCCCAGUUCCAAAAUAGCUUUGUAACUCGAUUCUUCUCUCUCCCCCCUUGAAGUGGGAACAAAACUUGAAUAGAAGACUGGCUGGCUAGCCAAUGUAAAAAAAUGUAGAUGAAUGGAUGUUCAUGUAGAUUCUUCUUAAUUUCUUCUUAUCUUCAGUUGAUUGAUAUAUAUACGUCUUUUGUAUAUAUAGUCUUGGG